Molecule: ribosomal RNA, 317 nt
Filed under: uncultured bacterium
Lineage: Bacteria
Description: bacterial SSU rRNA
Rfam family: Bacterial small subunit ribosomal RNA
Source: RNAcentral
GCAGUCUGAUGGAGCACGCCGCGUGAGUGAAGAAGGUUUUCGGAUCGUAAAGCUCUGUUAUUGGUGAAGAAAGAUAGAGGUAGUAACUGGCCUUUAUUUGACGGUAAUCAACCAGAAAGUCACGGCUAACUACGUGCCAGCAGCCGCGGUAAUACGUAGGUGGCAAGCGUUGUCCGGAUUUAUUGGGCGUAAAGCGAGUGCAGGCGGUUCAAUAAGUCUAAUGUGAAAGCCUUCGGCUUAACCGGAGAAUUGCAUCGGAAACUGUUGAACUUGAGUGCAGAAGAGGAGAGUGGAACUCCAUGUGUAGCGGUGAAAUC